RNAcentral lists this long non-coding RNA (755 nucleotides) under Carica papaya (papaya). RNAcentral describes it as "long non-coding RNA (CPAP_LNC004599)". Lineage: Eukaryota; Viridiplantae; Streptophyta; Magnoliopsida; Brassicales; Caricaceae. The record is from RNAcentral.
UCAUUACAAACUUAUUAUAUCACUAUCUGUAUAAUCAGAUGCUGAAGUGUUUUGACAUUGCAGACGGAUGUGGAGUGGCAAUAUAUAUAUCCUCCAGGAAUGCAGAAGAGUGUCAACUAUGUAAAAGAGAGAUACAAUAACACGCCCAUGUUCAUCACAGAAAAUGGUAAGUUAUCAUCUUACCAGUUUAAGUUUUGAACGUUGACUUCCCCUCAAAUUCUGAUAUUUGUGUAAUGUAACAAAACAUGCAGGGCUUGGUGAGAUGCACAGUCCAAACUCCCCCAUUGAGAACUUUCUUAAUGACGUUAGAAGAGAGAAGUUUAUGGCCGACUACUUGGAUUCCCUGCAGACAUCAAUGAGGUAAGAACAUGCAAAUAUGCUUAAUACUAGCAAGCAACCAUUAAAAAAAAGCUAUUAUCCUAGUAAACUUUAUUCAACCAUUAAUUGCUUACCUCAUUAAUUAAUUUCCUUUUACAAAAUGCAUCAACAUAGCAUGUUUAGUUUUCCAGUUCAUAUUUCAGACACUCAUGACUCAUUUCUUCUUAAAGCAACUUCCUGUCAAAAAACUACAAAUGCUUUCAGGGAGACAUCUAACACAAAUCAUACUUGUUUUGUCUACUUUCCUGGAUGCCAUCAGAGAAGGUGCAGAUGUGCGGGGUUACUUUGCCUGGUCCUUGCUAGACAACUUUGAAUGGAGAUUUGGAUAUACUGUAAGGUUUGGACUUCACCAUGUUGAUUAUGCUACACAGAGAAGA